CCUCCAGCAGCCGGACGCAGGGCAGAGGCGCCGUGUGAUGCGUCCACCGACCUUGAAUGUUCUGCUGUGUGACAGUGUAUUGAAGAAGGAAAGAGUGUAUUGAAGAAGGAUGGAGGAAGGCAAGGGACUCACAAAUACUGAGGGACAAGUGAUGUAGGAAUGGCAAUAAGGCCACUAACAAGCAAACAGUUCCAAACAUCACAACAGCUGCUCCAAGACUGCCACUACUAUGGUCACUGACAUGCCACCAGUGGGAAACAACCACCUAAUGCAGGACUCCAACACCAUACAAGGAGUCACAAACAAAUCCAUGACCAGCUGAUCCCAAGUACUUGUGUGCAUAACUCGUACUCCCAUCAAGGAACCAUAGGCUACUUAGGGGGCAAACUCUCCUCUUCCUCCUCAUUAUACACCACAGUUUAUUGUUUAUUUAAUUUUUGAUGUACUGAACUUCUGAAUCUUUGGAGGAUUUUCAAAGUUUCUCAUGGAUGCAGAUUUGGCACCUUAAUUCCACACAUUUGAAAACUACAAAUGUAUUAUGUCAACUUUAUGACCAAAUAGGGCACACUGUUUA
This is a long non-coding RNA of Scylla paramamosain (green mud crab), 574 nucleotides long. RefSeq lists it as uncharacterized. The transcript is spliced from 2 exons. The record is from RefSeq and is a predicted model, not a curated record. NCBI's taxonomy places the organism in Eukaryota, Metazoa, Arthropoda, Malacostraca, Decapoda, Portunidae.